RNAcentral lists this ribosomal RNA (1389 nucleotides) under Triticum aestivum (bread wheat). Its description in RNAcentral is "partial small subunit ribosomal RNA". The record is from RNAcentral. Lineage: Eukaryota; Viridiplantae; Streptophyta; Magnoliopsida; Poales; Poaceae.
AUGCUUCAGGCGGGCGCGGGGCGGGGGCCGCCGCACGACGCGGCAGCGGGGGCCACCGGCGCGGGAGGCGGUGGACGCGACCGCAUCAGCGACCUCACGGACGACCUGUGCCACCACGUCUUCUCCUACAUGAAGGCGUGGGAGGUGGUCCGCACGAGCGCGCUCUCGAGGCGGUGGCGCCGCACCUGGGCCUCCGCGCCGUGCCUCGACAUCCGCUGGCUGUGCGCCUGCUCCCGCCGCGUUGACCAGGAUUGGUACGCCGAGUUCGUCAAGCACCUGCUUCUCCGGCGGGACCGCAAGCCGUUGAACACGCUCCGGCUGCACUGGAACCACGACGACGCCAACACGUGGAUCGUUCAUGCUCUCAGGCGCAAUGCCACAGCUAUCCAGCUCUCCGCCAAGCAUCACCGCCCAAUCCUCAAGCUGGAUUGCACGGUCUUCCUUUCUGGCAACCUCAACAUCUUGCAGCUCGCCAACGUGUCCUUGCACAGCCGCUCCCUCUCGGGGCUCCGUUCUAGGUGUACUUCUUUGGAAGAACUAGAGCUCAGGAAAGCUCUCAUAUUUGCCUCGGAGAUUCGAUCAACCUCACUCAAGCGUUUGACUAUGGUCAACUGUGGAAUCUUUAACGGCCUCACGGUUGACGCUUCGAACCUUGCAGCCCUGCGAUGCAUCAGACCUCGCAGUUUUGUUCCUCAGAUCGAGAACUCGGGGUCACUAGUGACGGCCACUAUCAUGCUUGAUGACGCUUGCUUGCAACAUGCUCGCCCAUGGUCAGUACAGGAUGAUGAGAACGAUGGCGACACAUAUACUGAUGCUGAGGACUCUGACAUCAAUGAAUCUCAAUCUCAAUCUGAUGAUGAUAGCUGUGCAGUUGCUGAUGAGCAUGCAAGGGAUCGUGAGCAUCAUGGAAGCGGUGAUAUUGUAGUUUAUGGUGGCAAACGUAUUUUUCACAGCCUCUCGAAUGUCAGAACAAUGAACUUGUCAGCUCAUCGAGGAGAGGUUCUGCUGACUACGGAACUGGAGAACUGCCCUGUGUUCGAAAACCUGAGGACUCUAUCCCUUGGUGAAUGGUGUAUAGAUAGCGAGUUUAAUGCAUUAUCAACCAUGCUUGAGAAAUCUCCCAACUUAGAGAACCUUUUCGUUCACCUCGAGAAGGCCUGCAACAGCAGAGAUAACAGCAACCCAAGUGAAACAUCAUGUACUUACAACAACCUGAAGGUGAAGAUCUCAUAUUCAGGGGAUGGCAUGAUUGCCCGUCAGCUCGAAGACUUCUUCCGCACCAAUAAUGGCUCAUGGGAGAAGCGCAAGGCGCAAGGCAAAGCUGCCGAGAGUUCAGCGAAGCAGAGGAGGAUAAGGAGCCCAGAGGGAGGGCAAGGUGGUGGGAACUAG